Molecule: ribosomal RNA, 467 nt
Filed under: uncultured bacterium
Lineage: Bacteria
Description: partial 16S ribosomal RNA
Rfam family: Bacterial small subunit ribosomal RNA
Source: RNAcentral
GGAUGAACGCUGGCGGCGUGCUUAACCCAUGCAAGUCGAACGGAAAGGCUCCUGCUUGCAGGGGUACUCGAGUGGCGAACGGGUGAGUAACACGUGGGUGAUCUGCCCUGCACUUCGGGAUAAGCCUGGGAAACUGGGUCUAAUACCGGAUAGGACGAUGGUUUGGAUGCCAUUGUGGAAAGUUUUUUCGGUGUGGGAUGAGCUCGCGGCCUAUCAGCUUGUUGGUGGGGUGAUGGCCUACCAAGGCGUCGACUGGUAGCCGGCCUGAGAGGGUGUACGGCCACAUUGGGACUGAGAUACGGCCCAGUCGGCUACGGGAGGCAGCAGUGGGGAAGAUGGCACAAUGGGCGCAAGCCUGAUGCAGCGACGACGGGUGGGGGAUGACGGCCUUAGGGUAGUAAACUCCUUGCGCUAGGGACGAAACGCAAGUGACGGUACCUGGAGAAGAAGCACCGGCUAACUACGUG